This 444-nucleotide ribosomal RNA is filed under the name uncultured bacterium. RNAcentral's name for it is "SSU rRNA". It matches the Rfam family "Bacterial small subunit ribosomal RNA", at positions 26 to 518 of the family's 1533-position model. The record is from RNAcentral.
AGAACGAACGCUGGCGGCAGGCUUAACACAUGCAAGUCGAGCGCCCCGCAAGGGGGGCGGCAGACGGGUGAGUAACGCGUGGGAACAUACCCUCCGGUUCGGAAUAGCUCAGGGAAACUUGGAUUAAUACCGGAUACGGCCUAGCGGCGAAAGAUUCAUCGCCGGAGGAUUGGCCCGCGUUCGAUUAGCUAGUUGGUGAGGUAACGGCUCACCAAGGCGACGAUCGAUAGCUGGUCUGAGAGGAUGAUCAGCCACAUUGGGACUGAGACACGGCCCAAACUCCUACGGGAGGCAGCAGUGGGGAAUAUUGGACAAUGGGCGCAAGCCUGAUCCAGCCAUGCCGCGUGAGUGAUGACGGCCUUAGGGUUGUAAAGCUCUUUCGCUAGGGACGAUAAUGACGGUACCUAGACAAGAAGCCCCGGCUAACUUCGCGCCAGCAGCCGC